RNAcentral lists this long non-coding RNA (505 nucleotides) under Equus caballus (horse). RNAcentral describes it as "lncRNA (ENSECAG00000058858.1)". Lineage: Eukaryota; Metazoa; Chordata; Mammalia; Perissodactyla; Equidae. The record is from RNAcentral.
CAAUUCUUAAGGCACCAGCCAUUGUUUUGCUCUGUCUGCCUGGAAAAGAAAGUAAACCCUUUCCUUUCCAAUCAAGACUCUGUUCUCAUUAUUUGGAUAGGCACAAAGUUCAGAGACCGACCUUUCAGUAACAUAGUCUUCUGCCAUGAGAUGAUGACAGGACCAAUGGAAAUCUGAACAGCUGUGGAACAAAGAGGAUGUGGUACAUCUAGAGGAAAACACCCAAACUAAGCAACCCCCGGACAUAGCCAACUCCAGCAAGCUGGAGUAUCAGCAAGGAGGAUUCCAUCAAAACUGCAAUCUGGUCCUGGUCCUUUUUCUCAGGAGGGGUACACUCUCUGAUGACAGUCAGAAAUUUAAAAACUAUUUUGAAUUUUUCCCUUUUUUGGUAAGUGGCAUUUUAAAAAAAAUUCUGACAUGAUACAUCAUGGUAGAAUUUGAUACAUCUGCCUUUCUUUGGUAAGGUGUUUGAAGAUCAAUAGUGAAAGAGUAAGUUGGACAGAAG